Molecule: long non-coding RNA, 6987 nt
Organism: Bombus terrestris (buff-tailed bumblebee)
Lineage: Eukaryota; Metazoa; Arthropoda; Insecta; Hymenoptera; Apidae
Exons: 2
Source: RefSeq, a predicted model, not a curated record
CGAUGUUUUUAUUGGGAGUGGGAGAGGAUUUGGGAACGGAUGAGGGUAUUUUGUUAAUGGUUAAGGUAGUGGUAGUAGGUUCUACAGAGUUGAGUUCGAUCGUGGCUCGCAGGAAGGAUCGAGGAUUUGAAGUCGUAGGUUUUUCGUUUUUUGGUAUCGCGAUUUGGAGGAUGGUGGAAUUUGUUGAAACGAUAUAGUAUAAUUAUUAUAUGGGUUAGGUGUGAAGCUUCUAUUUUAUUUAGGCAGAGAAGGUACUUGAGCAUCUAGGUAGAGGAUUUUUGGCACUGGUAGCAAAUAUUUGAAACGACAUCUAGGCUAUACUGUAGCUGUAUCUUUAUCGUUGAUUAAAUUAAUAUUAAAUGUGACGAACCAAAUUUGGGGAAAAAAGUACAGUAGAAAAUUGUAACAGAGUUAUAAUAUGAAUUAAGUAUUAGGCUUCUAUUCUAUAUAUUUAGGUAGACGAUUUUUGACAUUAAUAUCAAAUAUUGAAGCGACGUGUAGGUUAUAUUAUAGGUAUAUCUCUAUCAUGGAUUUAAUUAAUAUUAAAUGUGAAAAAGUAAAUUUGGGGAAAGACACACUAGAAAAUUGUUACAGAAUUAUAAUAUGGAUUAGGUAUCAAGUUUCUGUUCUACUUAUUUAGGUAGAGGAUUUUUAUCAUUGGUAGCAAAUAUUUGAAACGACAUCUAGACUAUACUGUAGCUAUAUCUUUAUCGCGAAUCAAAUUAAUGUUAAACGUGACAAACUAAAUUUGAGGAAAAAAGUACAGUAGAAAAUUGUAACAGAAUUAUAAUAUGAAUUAGGUAUUAAGUUUCUACCCUAUAUAUUUAGGUAGAGGAUUUUUGACAUUAAUAUCAAAUAUUGCAAUGACGUGUAGAGUGUAUUGUAGCUAUAUCUUUAUCGUGGAUUAAAUUAAUACUAAAUGCGAGGACGAAUUAGAUUUUGAAAAAUGGCAUAGUAGAAAAGCACAGUAGAAUUACAAUGUAGAUUAUGUAUCAAGUUUCUGUUCUACUUAUUUAGGUAUUUUUUAUAUAUCUUAGAAGAUUUUUGACACUGAAAUUAAAUAUUGCAGUGACGUGUAGGGCAUAUUAUAGCUAUAUCUUUAUCAUGGAUUAAUUUGGGGGAAAAUACAGUAAAAAAGUCUAACAGAAUUAUAAUAUGAAGUAGGUAUUAGACUCCUAUUCUAUAUACUUGAGUAGACGAUUUUUGACGUUAAUAUCAAAUAUUGCAUUGACGUGUAGAGUGUAUUGUGGCUAUAUCUUUAUCAUGGAUUAAAUUAAUGCUAAAUGCGAGAACAAAUUAGAUUUGGGAAAUGGGGGGUAAAUGGGGGUUCGAACGCGAUCUAUCGGAUUAGAGAUGUGAUGCAGAGAUAGGAUUGUUGGAAUACAGUUUUAUUGGUUUCUGGUAAUAGGUAUAUUCAGAUUAGGAAGGUGCUACAGUUGAUUCAAAGGUUGAUACAUGUAGAAUUGUAAUACAUAUUAAGUAAAUAGGGUUGGAUAUUAACCGUACAUUUAGGUAUAAGAUUUUGGCGUAUAAGAUUUUUGGAAUUAUUCAAAUAACGGUGGAAUAUGGAGAGUAUAUAGUUAAAGCCUGUGGAUCACAAGGAAGUAAUUUUCAUGGAGAAUUGAAUUUCCUAAUUAUCGGCAGCAACGUUUCCGAAUCGAGGGAUUAAGGAGUAAAAUCCUAGCAUAAUCUCCAUGAAUACGAGAAAUAAUUUCGAUAAUGCUCUCCGGUAUUACUUCAUUUAAAUUAACAAAGUAUCGCAGAAAUAUAAAUUUUUCAGGAUCCAUAAAUUAAAAAAUAAUGAAUCGUCAUGAUGUUGCAAAUAUUUUUCAACAUUUCGUCCGAUAUUUAUUAUCAUCACUUGUAUCGUCCUUUUGCAACGAAUACACUAAACGAAAGUAAUCCUUUGGAAUUCUUUGGAACGUCAGACACUAAUCAUGUACCAAGAUAAUAAAAAUCUAAGGUUUGCAAAAAACGAAGUUGAGACGUGCUGAAAGCGUAACAAAUCGCGAUAAAAAAAAUACUGAAAGAAUUCACAACAGUUCGCGUUUCAUCGAUUUGGAAAAUAUUUUUGAUAGAUGUAAUUCGUGUGACAUUUAUUAGAUUUAGAAAAAGAGAGAAGGUAAAUUUACGAGCGACAAGCCGCCAUGGAAUUUUAGUGGCGCGUUUCCACGGAGGAUUCGUUUCUCACGGUCAGUUUGCCUCGCGUAUUAUGGCUCACAAAUUUUCGUGGCCUCUGAACUGAAAAUUUCGAGCUGAUUGCACCUAUCCCAUCAGAAUAUUAUUUUCAACUUGUUUGGCGCUAAUGUCCCAAGAGACUCAUGAGUGGCUGGCUUUCUAGAUAAACGUAUCGCGAAAUGAAAAUGCCCUAGCUUUAUCUAAUCGACUGAUUUUUGUUACGUCGCGCCGUUGUUACGUUAAUGUUGUGAAACUUACCGGCGCCGAGAUUAUCGUGCUUUUUUCAUUAUAUCGAUCAACAAAUAAGAUACUUCGUUAUCUGUCUUUAUUGCUUUUAUCUCUUGAUUGUUUGAUUAAAUGUUAUUAAUUUCUGGUUCGAAUUAGAAUCGAGGAUACAUUUCAAGAUUACAACCGAAUUUUAAAACAAAAUUCGCCUUGAACUACGAGAAAAGAAGUUUAUUUUAUUAAUUCUGUUUAUGAAUAACAGAUUUGCUUUAUGUUUUUGUGAUAUAAGUUCUUACGAAAACAGAUAUGUUUAUCGCGUUUAGUUGAUUAAUACUUUUUUUAAAAUACCAAUUCAUUUCAGUACGUUUAAUUUCUAUAAUUAUAUUAAACUGAACUUUUAUUAUAUGAAAUUGAAUUUUACUAAACUGAAAUUUUAUUGAAUAAAAAUUGAUCGUCAUUGCUCAGUUACACGGUCGUAACUAUUCCUCAAUUAGCUUGUUACUCGAUUCAGCUAAGAAUUGCGCGAUUUCGAUCGCCCAAAAUUAUUGACCUUACACAUUUGCAUUUUCUGCAUCCUCUGUUACAAAUAUAAUUCAGCCGCUUGGGAACGAUAACAAGUUGGAAAUGCCUCGUGAGAAAUUGUCAAACGUAAUUCUAGACACUAAUUCCGGCUAAUAACUCUGCCAAAAAGUGUAUAAACAGAUCUUACGUUAAAUGGCAAGUAAAAAAUACACUGUCACUUCUGGCUUUGCAUCAAAAAUCCAAGCGGAAGCGUAAUAAAAGUUGACGCGGCUUUAUCAAGAAUCGAUGAGUUUGCAUUUUUGGGGAAAUGCAACCUUCGUCGACAAAUUCCUACGUUGAUUUACUAGUUAACUAGAAAUUCAACUGAAAAUCGCUUCCUUGCGUUAUUAAAUAUCCUUCAAAAAUAGUCGAUCGCAGCAAUAGCUUACGAUCAGGUGAAGAUUUUCCACCCAAACCAGAAAAACGAAUUUCAAUGUUCUUUCUAUUUUGUUUUUAUACUAAAAAUAUACUAAAUUGUUCCUAUACUACUAUCACCGAUAAAAAUAAAACUUGGAAAGAAAUGUAUGUCACAAAUAAAACACGCGUUUCAUGACGUUCUCUUCUCGGAACAAAAUUCGCAAUUUCAAACAGACUCGUUGCAAAGCUGCGUAUCGUGAGAAUCUUUCCAAGUGCGAGGUAUUAAAAUCAAAUGCAAGAAAAUUUUCAAAUAAUUCCACGAAUCUUAUCAUUUUUUUUAAUUCCACUAUGGAACUGUAUAUAAUAAAAACAGUCGACAAGCAAAAGGUUAAAACGUAAGGUCGAGAAAAAUCAUUGUAAUUCCCACAACUAUCCACCUUUCUCCAAAUGCCGCUAUAUUUGAAUAUUACUUAAACAUCCACUCGUAUUUAACGAGAAGAUUGCUUCGCCGUACGCGAUUAAUAUGAAACACUGAGAACGAAAAGUGGAAGGAAAACUGGCGUUGAAAACGCGGCAAAAAAAGGUGUGGUGUGAAUGAAAGCGGCAGGAGGCACAGGCGGCGUGUGUCGCCCACGUGAACCACGAUGCCAAAGUUCCGUUUCGACCAGUCAUUCAGGAACAAUGAACGGCGUCCCGGCGAUUUCUAUCCAGUUAGAACCGGAAAACCGGCGACUGGCGGUCUCAGGCGACGCGAUAGCGUCGGCCAGUUAUUGGAUACUAUCGACAGCCUCUCCUUCCCUCUUUGCUAUUUCAACGCCACGAGGCCGUGCAACUUCUCGAUGACGCGUCUCUGCCAAGUUGAUCGACCUCACCUUGCGCCUUCCUGCAAACCGAAGCACCUGCUUCCGGUACACGCGCUACCAUUACGUUUCGAACUUGAACGCAUCAUUUUAUUCGACGAUUCAUUCGUUACCAAUGCGACGCAAUCCGCACUGAAUAAUGGCUACCACGUUCCUUCCUCGCAUUCUUGAGAAGUAUCGAGAGCCAUGCUACUCCAAAGCGAUAAAUUAGUCGCUACAAUCGGAUGCCUGAAGCGGAUCGUUCGUUUCUGGACAAUGGCGCGAGGAAAAUGAAUGGCUGACACUGGCGACAAUCGUCGCGUAAAUACUCAUCUAAAUAUUGAAAUGCGAAUACUGAAUACCAUAUCGUAGAAAUAUAUCUUUUAUUCGCCCUGUAAUUCUCAGAUACAGAGAAAUUUAUUUAUCAAUGCUUCUUCAGAAGAUAACUUUUUUUUAAACAAAACAUACGUAACGUUAUGUAAUCAGAAUGAAAACAAUUACACCACAGACGAAUUAAUACAUCCAAUUGAAUAAGACAAAGACAUAGAUCAAUUUUUAGGUGAGGCAUAGAUUGAAGUAUUUGACAAAUGUUUUUUCAUUAUGAGCUGCACAAUUUAAUAGUCUGGCAGAUUAAAUUCUCACACGACUCAGACUUCUCCUACAAAAAGGAUUUCAAUUAUCCAGGCAGAAGUCAGUUUUUGUCCCACUUCUGUCCCUCCUUUUCCACUUAAAACCACCAUUACCAGGCUGCGGAUUUUUAUGCAAAUUCACAUUUUUCAGAGUACAAUUAGAAAGAAGUAGAACCUCGACAGGUUCAACUUGCGAUUGUUCUAGCCAACAAGUAUCAUAGAAAGUACUAUUUUCUCAAUACUUUACAUAUAUUUUUUCAUAUUACGUACACUAUGCAAUCUUGCACUUUCAAAUUUCCUAUAAAUGCAUAAAAAUCCGCAGUGUAACAAUCACCAUGAACACCAACCCUACGCAUAGAAACGCUCAAACCAUCAAAGAAUCAAUUCCACCAUCAAACGACCACCAUUGGGACACAUCACGGAAGAAGAGGGUCUCGUUCUUACGCGCGUCUGUCCGUGGAUUCGUUAAAGAGUUCCCGGUGUUGCUGGUACCAAUAUACACGUACACAGGCACACGUACAAACACAGAUGAUGCAUUGUAUGAGUGUGUGGUGACCGUGACUGUAUCUGCGUCGGAGGAAGAGGCACAUUACGUUCAAUCUACCUCCGCUCCGCUCGACUCCUACUUCGCGUUCCGCACUCGUGAUCUGCGAUCCAAAGAGAGACAAAAACGCGGUCCAGUGACUCACACCCUCUGAUAUUCGACACGGUUUUACCACGGAACCGUCAUCGCCCACGUCGUCAUACCAAGCGUGUAUUUCCGCAUUUGAAACUUUGCUUUGAUACUCGCGAGCUUCGCUAUGGUUGAACGUAGUUUGAACCACGUAGUUGAACGUAGUAUGAUUAAUCGUGUCGUUGCAUCGAUAGUGGCACAAUUAGAAACCUGUAAGUUUUAGAGCAGAGGCUUUUUAAAAUUUACAAAGAAAUCUUGAUCGUUUCAACGGCGUUAUACGGCUGACUUAUCGCAAGAUACACCACUGGUCGUAAAAAUAGUACAACCUUGCACUUGUAGAGUUACAAAACAACCGAAGAAGAGCCAAUGCUGUUCUUAGACUAAGACCAGAUUAAUGGUAGUAGUAAUUCAUAGUCCAUAAGUAAUACUUUUGUCCUGUGACGUAAGAAUGAUGCAGUUAUAAGUAUAUUUUAUAUUUGACGUGGUAGAAGUAGAAACAUAAUCUUCUAUUCAAUAAGGGCAUAUUUGAAAUUGUUUGAGUUGGACCACUAUCGUUGCCAAGCAGAGAUAUAAACAGGUCUCGACAUUCGUACAACGAAAGUAUAAAGGAAUACAGAAAAUUGAGUGGUGAAAAAUCAACAUGGAAGACAAGCAAGUUCUCGUUCUGCACAUGCGUGACAUCCUAUGAAUGUGUCAGACAGGGACACUCUACUCAUCUCUGUCUGUCUCGCAAGGACCACAACUUUGUUGCCUUUCCUGUUGAUUUUUCGCGACUCAAUUUUUGAGACGGCUCUCCCUAGCGAGUGUCGAGACUUGUUUACAUAACCGUGGUUUGAACAUGUUUGGAGACAGUUGUUGAAAGAAUCUAAAGAUUUUAUUGUUGAGAGCUAUUGAAACUGAAUAUGAUUCGUAUUGUAGAUGGAAAGUAUUCUGUUUGCUAAAGUUUGGUGAUGUACAAAAUGUUUCAAAGUUGGGACUGUAAGAUUAAUCGUAUAGUUAAUUACAUUUAAUAGAAUAAUUUCUACAAAAUAGAGGUUGCGUGGAAAGAUGGAAUUGGUAUGCAUGUUUAAUAUCGUUGUUUAAUAUCAAAUUUUUAUAGAUGUUUAUUUAAUCGAAAUUAUUUUUAUUUUAAGAUAUUAGUUUAGGGUAUUGAUGGAAUUGAUAUUGAUGUUUGAACCUGUCGUUUUAAAUUUAUUGGACAGAUUUGAUCGACAGAAUUGACUGAUAUAAUUCAUGUAGAGAAGAGAAUGUAAGAUAAGGAUGAAACUUAUAUAAUUUGAAAUUGUUGUAAAACAUCUUGGAAACUUACAUGAACAAACUUAUCGUUUAUAUAUAUAAUUUGCUAAUAUAAUUUAUACAAAAGAAAGGUCGAUAAUGAAGAUGGAACUUGUAUGAAUAAACUUAUAACUUAAAUGUCUAAUUGACUAACAUAAUUUAUACAGGAGUUUAGAAUAGGCAUGGAAUUUCUAUUGAUGUUUCAAGUUGUUUGACGAUGUUUGUAAAAGUAAAAUUUUUCGCUAAAGUA